RNAcentral lists this ribosomal RNA (345 nucleotides) under Triticum aestivum (bread wheat). RNAcentral describes it as "partial small subunit ribosomal RNA". Lineage: Eukaryota; Viridiplantae; Streptophyta; Magnoliopsida; Poales; Poaceae. The record is from RNAcentral.
AUGCAGCUCAGCCAAACGCCGGUUCCAGCAACUCUCGCCCCCAACAUAGCACGCAGCUCGCCAUCGUCGUGGACCUACACCACCGGAUACCAGCGAAAAAACACAUCUCAGCCCAAAAAAGAACUCCGGUGGUCAGUUGUAGCAAAUCAAAAACUGGUUCCAGCAAAAAAAUUGCGGUCUCCAGCAAAACGACCUGAGAAAAUAACAAAUCAAGUAAAUCGCUUGAAGAAAAAAAUUACCCUGUUCCAGCAAAGAAUAACUAUAGUUCCAGCAAAAGCAACCUAUGCAGCUCCUCGUUGUGCUGGUCCCAUUGUUGGUUCCAGCAAAAAAAUUGCAUGGUUGUAG